Molecule: long non-coding RNA, 2754 nt
Organism: Hemicordylus capensis (graceful crag lizard)
Lineage: Eukaryota; Metazoa; Chordata; Lepidosauria; Squamata; Cordylidae
Exons: 3
Source: RefSeq, a predicted model, not a curated record
UCCAUUACUAAAGCUGAGCUGGGCAGAGGGUCUGCAGAGAGCUCUGUUGCUGGACACUCUCUGCCUGCCUGCCUGCUUCCUUCCUCAGCUUCAAGCUUCAGGAAGGCCUGCAUGGAGGCCUCUCUGGAAGCCCCACCCACCCACGGAACAGCUAAGAGGCAGGAGAGGUGGAACUCUAGCAGCAUGCCUGGGAGCCUUUCAAGCUGCACACAGACACAAAAGAUGGGCUCCAGCUGGGCUGCGGGGAAAGAUAGGUGGCUGGGACUGGGAGAGAGAGGAGGGCAGGCUGCACUGCAGUGUGCCAAGAGCAGGGCCUGUGCCAGCGCAGGGCUCGGGGCAAUUGCCCCAGUCACCCUACCAUAGAGAUGGCCCUGCUGGUAGCUCUACUCCUCGAUUGGCCCUUCAUCACUGGCCAGCUCUGGUUUAUAUAACCAUGUUGUGGUCUCUCUUUUUCUUACUGGUCCUUUUGGCUGGUCUCUAGCCUUAGAGCCUAGAGCCAGUCCCCCAGAGGGUGGUAAGGUGUCUGUUGCCAUCACAGAACAUCCACUUCCCUUAGCCAGAUCCAGUUGCCCCUGGUUUCUGGUUCACAGAACUCCCUUCUCCCAGGGCAGCUCUCCCCAGUCUGGCCUCUCAUCAUCGGUCUGGAGUCCCUUAUAUAGUCCCAAAAUCUCAUUAGUGAUUUCGUGAGAGUGAGGUGGUGGGAUCUUGGAGCAAGGCCCCAUGGAGCCAACUCCAGAUCCCACGGUAUCUUGUAAGGGGCAGCCGACAAGCAGUCGGCAGCCCAGGGCAGCCAAACAGGGCUUUUGGAGCCCAGGCUUGGAGGCAGAAUACCGGCCUCUGAGCAAUGAAGGAGAGGCCCGUCGUCGUGUCAGGUAAGCAGCAAGGAGUCGGAUGCAGCAGCAGAGCCCUGACACACCUGUGGCAGUUAGGGCAUGUCUCGUGAGAACGCAGGCUGAGAUCUUGCAUGAGUUGCCCCUGAUCCUGCGACGACUCGCCAUCUUCAAGCGACAGCAUGCUGUUAUCCUGUGGGGGCCCGGCAGACACUGUGGCCAGGGCAAGCAGCCGCCUCCAGGGCUGCAUGGCCAGGAGGGACCGAAAGCAGCCACACUGGGAUGGUGGCCAGAAGUUUCAUCUGCUGGCAACAUUACUACAAACCAGGUGAUCCAGUUCAUGGCUGCAGUUUUUGCGAGAGAAGGUCUUCCUAAAGAACUAAUGACUGGCAAUGGGACACAGCUUACCUCAUUUGAAAUGGAGUAAUACCUGCAUAACCACGGAAUAAAACACAAGACUAUUUCCUUGUACCAUCCUAGAGGGAAUGUCUUAGAGGAAAGAAUGAGCAGGAAAGCCACCUUUUGAACUGCUAAGAGGACACAAAGCUACCACCAAACUUACCCAAUGGCAAAAACUGUUGGAUCACUCUGUGGAUGCACUGCAGAGAUUCAUGAUCAGGUAAGGGAGAAGUACCAAAAAUACAAAUUGUAUGUGCAUCAGAAACAUUUAAAGUGGGGGGCUUUAUUCGAGUAUGGCUGCCUUAUAAAGUGAGAAAGGGAUGUUUCCAAUACUCUGGACCAAAACAAAUAAUUGCUAUCCGAGGAGAGUUCACAUUAGAUGAUGGAAAUAAAUUGAAUAGAGUGAGAUUUUCCAGCAUGCAUACUAUGUGAAAAGAGAGAAGGGAGUCUGAUCUUCAGAGAGGAGCGGGAGAGGACUUUGAUCCUGCCUUCAGUUUUGACCGCUCAUAGGAGGCUGAUGAAAGUGAUGGACAAUCCUCUAUACCAGAAAAAACACUAACAGCUGCUGUGCCAGAGAACCCAAGAACUGGGAGCAGUGUGCACAACAGGAGAUCACCUGACUUCAUAACUUUGUCACUUAAUUUUAAAUUAAUUCAAUUCUGGUUGUUAUAAAGGGGAGAGAUGUGUUGUAUUCUAGUCUGUCUAGUAAUAGUUUAUGUUUUGUUGUUGAGAAUUUUGGCCCAGUGGGGAUCCUGUAGAGUGUGUGGGGGAGUCAGAAAAGGAAAAGGGAGGGAAAGGGGAAGGAGAAAAUGGAGUUAUUUCUCAAUAAACUCUUAGUUAAAUCUACAUAAGAUUUAGGCACGGAGGGAGGCCAGUGGCGGCCCAUGCCACCACAGCCCCCCAUGUCCCACCCCCUGCAUCAGCAUUUGAUGCCAGAUGCAGGGAGUGGUUAGCCAUGCCCCCUGUGUCUGAUGUCAGACGUGGGGGCGUGUCUGGGGUGUGAGACAUGGCCCCCGAGGGGCAACAGCUUAGGUUCUUUGAACCCGUUUGCUCAAUAGUGGCUCCACCCCUGAUAAGACUGCUUUGUGUUUAUGAGGGAAGCAGCUAUAAAACAUAUACAUAAAAAGGGCUUCUGCUAAUUAAAUGAUGUCCCUGUUUUAUUUAUUUAUUUAUUGUUCAACUUUUAUACUGUCUUUCAUAAUGCAUCUCAAGGCAGUUUACAAAAGUUAAAAUACAAAAAUACGAGCCCCUGGUGGCGCAGUGGUAAAACUGCCGCCCUGUAACCAGAAGGUUACAAGUUCGAUCCUGACCAGGGGCUCAAGGUUGACUCAGCCUUCCAUCCUUCCGAGGUCGGUAAAAUGAGUACCCAGAAUGUUGGGGGCAAGAUGCUAAAUCAUUGUAAACCGCUUAGAGAGCUCCGGCUAUAGAGCAGUAUAUAAAUGUAAGUGCUAUUGCUAUUGUUAUUGCUAAAAGGUAAAAUGCAAUAAAAUCCUGUAAAAGUUACAUUUAAAACAGUGAUUCUCAA